GGGGAAUUUUCCGCAAUGGGCGCAAGCCUGACGGAGCAAUACCGCGUGAGGGAAGAAGGCUUUUGGGUUGUAAACCUCUUUUCUCAGGGAAGAAGCAAUGACGGUACCUGAGGAAUCAGCAUCGGCUAACUCCGUGCCAGCAGCCGCGGUAAUACGGAGGAUGCAAGCGUUAUCCGGAAUUAUUGGGCGUAAAGCGUCCGCAGGUGGCUAGUCAAGUCUGCGGUCAAAGACAGAAGCUAAACUUCUGGAAGGCCGUGGAAACGGGCAAGCUAGAGUACGGUAGGGGUAGAGGGAAUUCCCAGUGUAGCGGUGAAAUGCGUAGAGAUUGGGAAGAACACCAGUGGCGAAAGCGCUCUACUGGGCCUGUACUGACACUGAGGGACGAAAGCUAGGGGAGCGAAAGGGAUUAGAUACCCCUGUAGUC
Molecule: ribosomal RNA, 424 nt
Filed under: uncultured cyanobacterium
Lineage: Bacteria; Bacillati; Cyanobacteriota
Description: bacterial SSU rRNA
Rfam family: Bacterial small subunit ribosomal RNA
Source: RNAcentral